RNAcentral lists this ribosomal RNA (1022 nucleotides) under Streptomyces sp. LK1321.3. RNAcentral describes it as "partial 16S ribosomal RNA". The stretch from base 1 to 825 matches the Rfam family "Bacterial small subunit ribosomal RNA", at positions 31 to 873 of the family's 1533-position model. The record is from RNAcentral. Lineage: Bacteria; Bacillati; Actinomycetota; Actinomycetes; Kitasatosporales; Streptomycetaceae.
UAACGCUUGNGGCGUGCUUAACACAUGCAAGUCGAACGAUGAAGCCCUUCGGGGUGGAUUAGUGGCGAACGGGUGAGUAACACGUGGGCAAUCUGCCCUUCACUCUGGGACAAGCCCUGGAAACGGGGUCUAAUACCGGAUAANACUCCUGCCUGCAUGGGCGGGGGUUGAAAGCUCCGGCGGUGAAGGAUGAGCCCGCGGCCUAUCAGCUUGUUGGUGGGGUAAUGGCCCACCAAGGCGACGACGGGUAGCCGGCCUGAGAGGGCGACCGGCCACACUGGGACUGAGACACGGCCCAGACUCCUACGGGAGGCAGCAGUGGGGAAUAUUGCACAAUGGGCGAAAGCCUGAUGCAGCGACGCCGCGUGAGGGAUGACGGCCUUCGGGUUGUAAACCUCUUUCAGCAGGGAAGAAGCGAAAGUGACGGUACCUGCAGAAGAAGCGCCGGCUAACUACGUGCCAGCAGCCGCGGUAAUACGUAGGGCGCAAGCGUUGUCCGGAAUUAUUGGGCGUAAAGAGCUCGUAGGCGGCUUGUCACGUCGGAUGUGAAAGCCCGAGGCUUAACCUCGGGUCUGCAUUCGAUACGGGCUAGCUAGAGUGUGGUAGGGGAGAUCGGAAUUCCUGGUGUAGCGGUGAAAUGCGCAGAUAUCAGGAGGAACACCGGUGGCGAAGGCGGAUCUCUGGGCCAUUACUGACGCUGAGGAGCGAAAGCGUGGGGAGCGAACAGGAUUAGAUACCCUGGUAGUCCACGCCGUAAACGUUGGGAACUAGGUGUUGGCGACAUUCCACGUCGUCGGUGCCGCAGCUACGCAUNANUUCCCCCCUGGGGAUNCNGCCCANGGUAAACUNAANGANUNACGGGGCCCNCCAACNGCGGACNNUGGUUAUUGACCACCGAAAACUUNCAGGUUNNUUNCCGNAGAUAAAANNGCCCCUUGGGCGNUNAGGGGCUGGUNCCNNCUGUCGGNNUNGGUAACCCAAACCACCUNNNGUNCNCUCCUUGGGAGGGACAGAACCGGUAU